AGGGAAUCUUCCGCAAUGGACGAAAGUCUGACGGAGCAACGCCGCGUGAGUGAUGAAGGUUUUCGGAUCGUAAAGCUCUGUUGCCAGGGAAGAACGUCCUUAAGAGUAACUGCUUAAGGAGUGACGGUACCUGAGAAGAAAGCCCCGGCUAACUACGUGCCAGCAGCCGCGGUAAUACGUAGGGGGCAAGCGUUGUCCGGAAUUAUUGGGCGUAAAGCGCGCGCAGGCGGCUGUUUAAGUCUGGUGUUUAAUCCUGGGGCUCAACCCCGGGUCGCACUGGAAACUGGGCAGCUUGAGUGCAGAAGAGGAGAGUGGAAUUCCACGUGUAGCGGUGAAAUGCGUAGAGAUGUGGAGGAACACCCGUGGCGAAGGCGGUUCUCUGGACUGUAACUGACGCUGAGGCACGAAAGCGUGGGUAGCAAAC
This 424-nucleotide ribosomal RNA is filed under the name uncultured bacterium. RNAcentral's name for it is "bacterial SSU rRNA". It matches the Rfam family "Bacterial small subunit ribosomal RNA", at positions 356 to 773 of the family's 1533-position model. The record is from RNAcentral.